Molecule: long non-coding RNA, 2299 nt
Filed under: Sus scrofa (pig)
Lineage: Eukaryota; Metazoa; Chordata; Mammalia; Artiodactyla; Suidae
Description: lncRNA (ENSSSCG00060007943.1)
Source: RNAcentral
CACCCCUUCCCCCUCCUUUGCAAAGCCCCCCUCCCUGUUUUUUCAGCCCCCUCCCCCCCAUCCCCCAUGGAGCUCAAUCCUGGCCAACUCCAACGUAUGCACGCAGCACCGAAUAGGCCCCCGGGGGGCGAGAGCGCCCCCAGUACCCAGCUGCAAACUUAGCACGCGACGCGCCCCCCUAUCUCCCCACGCCGGCUCCCCCCACCCUCAAUGCAGCCCCGCUUCCCCUCCCCCUCUCCUCGCGCUCCUGGGAGCCCCGAAAAAACCAUGCACCAGGGGGGUCGGGGGGGGGCGGCCGGCGCACAAGCCUAUGCACUUCGCCCCUAAUACCCCUUCCCUGGCGGCGCCCCCUCCCCGCGCUCGGGAUCCAGGGCGCCUCCAGCCUCCCGGCAGCUGCCAGCCACCCCCUCCUCUGAAACUUGCGGAACGUCCCUGGCUCCCGGGAUCGCCCCUUCUGGCGAGGGCAAAGGCAGGAAACUUCCACUGCCGUGGGUGAAAUGUACCCCGUCUGUCCUUCUGUGACUUCAAAGCUUUCCUGCACUUCAUUGCCUCUUCACACACGUAUUAAAAGUGCCUUUCAACUCCCAAACGGGUUGGAUUGGCUUUUGUAAUAGUAAUUUGGCUUCAAGGGGAAACCCGGGAGGCCCCCAGAAGGGAAGUGACAGCCCCAGGACUUGCAGCCUGAAACCAACCCCCCAGGGUAGAUGGAAAAGGACUGAGGGAGGGGCCACUUGGGUCCAGAGUGAGGGCGGAACCCAGGGACUUUGCUCUAACGACCCUGCCUGGGAUAUAAGUCCUCUUCCUUCCUUAAACCACCCUGCCAUCAGCCUUGGGACAAGAAGGGCCAAGCAGAAACACAAUUUGCAGGUCCCAGGAUAGUUAUUGGGUACUGGAGAUAACUGAAGUUCAGGCCUUCAUCCUAAGCGGUCUUACUUGCCAUCCCCCCAAUGUCCACCCAUUCAACCAGAGCAGGGGUGACUCAGUGUCCCCCCUGUACCACCCAGCCUCAGAUUUCUGGCACCCUUCUCUGCCGCAGAUAACCUGACUCAGAAGGGGCAGGGAAUUCAUAUAUAAGAUUAGCAUUGAAUCUAAUCCUUAUCAGGCCCCAGGAAAAAACAAGGGUUAUAUAAUUUCCAUCUUACAUUUGAGGAAACUGAGGCCAAGGGAGGGACAGUGAGCAAGGAUGUCAAAUCCAGCUUCACCUGGCUCUAGACCCUGCCGGAGGGGCUGAAGGUGGGUCCUUCAGGAAAUGCCAGGAUUGCAUACCCCAACCCUAUGCCCAGUCCUGCUCCUGCAAUGAAAAGAGAGAGAAGGGAGCAAAGCUUUGUCCUGACCCCUAUUCCUCUGUCCCUACCCCAACCCUCUCCUCCCCACCCCCCAAGAAACCCAGGUAGAUAAUUUUUUUUUUUUUUUAUGGUGGCACCUGUGGCAUAUGGAUGUUCCUGGGGCAGGGGGGCUAGUGGUCAUAUCUGAGCUGCAGCUGCCAGCCUACACCACAGCCACAGCAACAUCGGAUCCCAGCCGCAUCUGUGACCUAUGCCGGAGGUUGUGGCAAUACCAGAUCCUUUACCCACUGAGUGAGGCCAAGGAUUGAACCCACAUCCUCAUGGAUACUAUGCUGGUUCUUAACCCACUGAGCCACAACAGGAACUCUCAAGUAGAUACUAUUUUAAGACUUAAUAGGAGUUCCCGUUGUGGCGCAGUGGUUAACGAAUCCGACUGGGAACCAUGAGGUUGCGGGUUCGGUCCCUGCCCUUGCUCAGUGGGUUAAUGAUCCGGUGUUGCCGUGAGCUGUGGUGUAGGUUGCAGACGUGGCUCGGAUCCUGAGUUGCUGUGGCUCUGGUGUAUGCCGGUGGCUGCAGCUCCGAUUCGACCCCUAGCCUGGGAAUCUCCAUAUGCUGCGGGAGCGGCCCAAGAAAUAGCAAAAAAAAAAAAAAAAAAAAAAAAAAAAAGAUUAAAUUACUGUGUGACAUUGGGCAGAUUACUUAAUUUCUCUGAUCCUUAGAGUCCUCUGGAAAGAAUAAUGGUAGAGACCUCCUAGGGUUGUGACAAAGGAGAGAUAAAAUGAUACAUGUAACAUACUUAAACAGCACAUGGAUAUGAUUAUGUUGGUAUUGCUGUCAUUAUUAUUCAUUUCCAAAGGUGAAAAAUUUACACACACUCAAGCAUUUUUUCCUCAUUGGCUGACCCCCGCCUCCCCCCUCCCCCCACCAAAUGCCUGGCUAAAGUGUUUUUGGAAUGUAUCAGGACCAGCUCCAUCUUAGCAAUAAAACAAUAUAAAAAUUGAUGAAUACUUGGC